This 913-nucleotide ribosomal RNA is filed under the name uncultured bacterium. Its description in RNAcentral is "bacterial SSU rRNA". It matches the Rfam family "Bacterial small subunit ribosomal RNA", at positions 8 to 915 of the family's 1533-position model. The record is from RNAcentral.
AGAGUUUGAUCAUGGCUCAGAAUGAACGUUGGCGGCGUGGAUUAGGCAUGCAAGUCGUACGGGCCUGGCCUUCGGGCCGGGUCAGUGGCGCAAGGGUGAGUAAGGCGACGGUAACCAACCCCGGGGCUGGCCAUAGCCGCGGGAAACCGCGGGUAAUCGCCAGCGACGUCGGAACCCGGCAUCGGGCGCCGACCAAAGGUGUGAUUCCGCCCCGAGACGGGCCGUCGUGGUAUUAGCUAGUUGGUGGGGUAUCGGCCCACCAAGGCUAUGAUGCCUACCGGGCGUGCGAGCGUGGCCCGGCACACUGGGACUGAGACACUGCCCAGACUCCUACGGGAGGCUGCAGUCGAGAAUCUUCGGCAAUGGGCGCAAGCCUGACCGAGCGACGCCGCGUGGAGGACGAAGGCCUUCGGGUUGUAAACUCCUAUCGAGGGGAACCAAGGGGGUGUGAAGAACAUCCCUUGAGAGAUCCCUGAAGGAAGCACGGGCUAAGUUCGUGCCAGCAGCCGCGGUAAGACGAACCGUGCGAACGUUAUUCGGAAUCAUUGGGCUUAAAGGGCGCGUAGGCGGGUCGGUACGUCGGUCGCUGAAAUCCCCCGGCUUAACCGGGGACGUGGCACCGAUACGGCCGACCUGGAGGCGAGGAGGGGGACCUGGAACGUCCGGUGGAGCGGUGAAAUGCGUUGAGAUCGGACGGAACGCCGACGGCGAAAGCAAGGUCCUGGACUCGUACUGACGCUGAGGCGCGAAAGCCAGGGGAGCGAACGGGAUUAGAUACCCCGGUAAUCCUGGCCGUAAACGAUGGGCACUGGGUGGCGGGGCUCGCCGAUGGGCACGCCACCCGUAGCGAAAGCGUGAAGUGCCCCGCCUGGGGAGUAUGGUCGCAAGGGCUGACACUCAAAGGAAAUUGACG